GAGUUUGAUCCUGGCUCAGAACGAACGGUGGCGGCGUGGAUAAGACAUGCAAGUCGAACGGGACUUUCAUUGUAGCAAUAUGAUGAAAGUUCAGUGGCGCAAGGGUGCGUAACACGUGGGAAAUCUGCCGAGAAGUGGGGGAUAGCUCGCCGAAAGGCGAAUUAAUACCGCAUGUGGUCAGCGAGGACAUCCUCGCGAAACCAAAGCCGGGGCAACCUGGUGCUUCUUGAUGAUCCCGCGGCCUAUCAGCUAGUUGGCGGGGUAAAAGCCCACCAAGGCUAUGACGGGUAGCUGGUCUGAGAGGACGACCAGCCACACUGGAACUGAGACACGGUCCAGACACCUACGGGUGGCAGCAGUCGAGAAUUUUUCUCAAUGGGGGAAACCCUGAAGGAGCGACGCCGCGUGGAGGAUGAAGGUCUUCGGAUUGUAAACUCCUGUCAUUUGGGAACAAACCCUCCGGUUAACUGCCGGAAGGCUGAUAGUACCAGAAGAGGAAGGGACGGCUAACUGUGUGCCAGCAGCCGCGGUAAUACAGAGGUCCCAACCGUUGUUCGGAUUCAUUGGGCGUAAAGGGUGCGUAGGCGGCGGGGCAAGUCAGGUGUGAAAUCUUGGGGCUCAACCCCGAAACUGCACUUGAUACUGCUUUGCUUGAGUACUGGAGGGGAGACUGGAAUUUACGGUGUAGCAGUGAAAUGCGUAGAUAUCGUAAGGAAGACCAGUGGCGAAGGCGAGUCUCUGGACAGUUACUGACGCUGAGGCACGAAGGCCAGGGGAGCAAACGGGAUUAGAUACCCCGGUAGUCCUGGCAGUAAACGGUGCACGUUUGGUGUGGGAGGAUUCGACCCCUUCCGUGCCGGAGCUAACGCGUUAAACGUGC
RNAcentral lists this ribosomal RNA (880 nucleotides) under uncultured Verrucomicrobiota bacterium. Its description in RNAcentral is "bacterial SSU rRNA". It matches the Rfam family "Bacterial small subunit ribosomal RNA", at positions 9 to 869 of the family's 1533-position model. Lineage: Bacteria; Pseudomonadati; Verrucomicrobiota. The record is from RNAcentral.